This 706-nucleotide long non-coding RNA is filed under the name Mytilus galloprovincialis (Mediterranean mussel). The record is from RNAcentral. Lineage: Eukaryota; Metazoa; Mollusca; Bivalvia; Mytilida; Mytilidae.
CAGAAAUUAUAGAAAUAUUUUUCACAUAUUUUGGGAAUGUAAUGUAUCACAAAACUUCUGGCUAUCCGUUAAACCGUAGAUUGGAUUUAAAAUUAUGGCAUUCUCCUGCCUUUCAGUGCAAAAGAAGUCUUUUUAGGGUGUGUCGGAGGAUUUUGUCAACAGUAAAAUAGUUAAUAAUAUUUUGUUGUUAUUCAAAUAUUAUAUAUACAAAUGUAGCUGUAAGAACAUGACCUCACAAAAUAUGGUGGAAUAGAAUAUUAAAAGUAUUUAAUUAAUAUAGAAAAAUACUAUGUAUGUUUCUUAACCCCUGUACAAAAAGUAAAAAUGGAUCAGAAAUGGAGUUUGAUAGAAGCAGCUUUUAUUUGAUUAAUUAACAAAAUUAUUUUUAAUAUUUAUAUUUAUAUCUUAUUAUAUCCCUAUGACUUAAUUUAUCUUUCGAGUAUUACUUUUAGUUUUUAAAAUGUUUAAUACGAAUACUGUAGUAUGUAAUUUUACAUGUUUCAUGAAAAAUAAAAUAAUUACAAAAAAAUGAGUGGCAAUGAGACAACUCUUCAACCUAGUCACAAUUUGUAAAAGUAAAUCAUUGUAUGUGAAAUUACAGGCUACAACACGGAGCCUUGGCUCACACUACUAGCAAGCUAUAAAGGGCUAUAGGCUACAACACGGAGCCUUGGCUCACACUACUAGCAGCUAUAAAGGGCUAUAG